AUGAACGCUGGCGGCGUGCUUAAGACAUGCAAGUCGAACGGAGUGUGUAGCAAUACUCACUAAGUGGCGAAUGGGUGAGUAACACGUAGGUGACCUGCCCUGAAGUGCGGAAUAACAGUCCGAAAGGAUUGCUAAUACCGCAUGUGGUCCCGGGCGUUAGAGAACCGGGUCUAAAGCAGUAAUGCGCUUCAGGAGGGGCCUGCGGUCCAUCAGCUAGUUGGUAGGGUAAGGCCUACCAAGGCAACGACGGAUAGGGGACCUGAGAGGGUGGCCCC
RNAcentral lists this ribosomal RNA (275 nucleotides) under uncultured bacterium. RNAcentral describes it as "partial 16S ribosomal RNA". It matches the Rfam family "Bacterial small subunit ribosomal RNA", at positions 29 to 307 of the family's 1533-position model. The record is from RNAcentral.